GAGUUUGCCUCAGAUCAGUUCACCAUGCUCUGUCUUCUUAAUGAUUUUAGGACAAGAAAAAUAAUUCUUGGGAAGGCCUUUCUCAACUUUCUGACUUGAUAAAAUGCUCCUCAACCUUCAGUGGAACAAGUGAUGGGAUGCAAGCUAUGUAUUCGCUAUCCAUGGAUUGUGCUAGAAGGCAGUCAGACCCUUACCUUAAGGGCUACUGAAAGGUGUGCAUUCAGACCUACCAGGAACCAUGGGAGCUGCUGUAGAUCCAGACUGCCUGGAUCCCGGAUCUACCACUCACAGCUCUUAAGCUCCAUGCCUCUGUUCCUCAUCUGUAAAAUGGGAUGCCGAUAAUUGUGCCUACUGCACAAGUCUAGACAAAGCGCUUCAGAUAUAGAAGCAUAUAGAAAACAGGGAAUCAAUAUUAAUUCAUUAUUAUUAUUAUCAGAACUUAGAGACUAGCACAAAUUACUGAAAAUUAAACUAAUAAUGAAAGGCAUGCUAUCAAUUACCUCAGAAGUGCAGGCUGUUUGGAACAAUAUGUUAAAGAAUUUAUAAAGCUGGGGUGCCUGGGUGGCUCAGUCAUUGGGCGUCUGCCUUCGGCUCAGGUCAUGAUCCCAGGGUCCUGGGAUCGAGCCCCGCAUCGGGCUCCCUGCUCCGCGGGAAGCCUGCUUCUCCCUCUCCCA
Long non-coding RNA from Mirounga angustirostris (Northern elephant seal), 674 nucleotides. RefSeq lists it as uncharacterized. The record is from RefSeq and is a predicted model, not a curated record. Lineage: Eukaryota; Metazoa; Chordata; Mammalia; Carnivora; Phocidae. The transcript is spliced from 3 exons.